UAAGUUCCUGCAACAUACUAACAUCAAAACUGGUCCAGAGUGGCACAUGUGAGGCAACUCAACUGCUCUUCGUGUGGAAUCGACAUCAAGAGAUUUUUGGAAGCAUAACUGUUUGGUACCUGGGCAGGUAGUAAUUGUUGGUCCCAGUGCCCAU
This 154-nucleotide small nuclear RNA is filed under the name Otolemur garnettii (small-eared galago). Its description in RNAcentral is "U11 spliceosomal RNA (ENSOGAG00000022907.1)". The stretch from base 26 to 154 matches the Rfam family "U11 spliceosomal RNA". Lineage: Eukaryota; Metazoa; Chordata; Mammalia; Primates; Galagidae. The record is from RNAcentral.